This 530-nucleotide ribosomal RNA is filed under the name uncultured bacterium. Its description in RNAcentral is "bacterial SSU rRNA". It matches the Rfam family "Bacterial small subunit ribosomal RNA", at positions 8 to 555 of the family's 1533-position model. The record is from RNAcentral.
AGAGUUUGAUCCUGGCUCAGGAUGAACGCUGGCGGCGUGCUUAACACAUGCAAGUCGAGCGAGAAAAGUUCUUCGGAGCUUUUCUAGCGGCGGACGGGUGAGUAACACGUGGGCAACCUGCCUCAUAGAGGGGAAUAGCCUUCCGAAAGGAAGAUUAAUACCGCAUAACAUUGUUGAAAGGCAUCUUUUAACAAUCAAAGGAGCAAUCCGCUAUGAGAUGGGCCCGCGGCGCAUUAGCUAGUUGGUGAGGUAACGGCUCACCAAGGCGACGAUGCGUAGCCGACCUGAGAGGGUGAUCGGCCACAUUGGAACUGAGACACGGUCCAGACUCCUACGGGAGGCAGCAGUGGGGAAUAUUGCACAAUGGGGGAAACCCUGAUGCAGCAACGCCGCGUGAGUGAUGAAGGUCUUCGGAUUGUAAAGCUCUGUCUUUAGGGACGAUAAUGACGGUACCUAAGGAGGAAGCCACGGCUAACUACGUGCCAGCAGCCGCGGUAAUACGUAGGUGGCAAGCGUUAUCCGGAUUUACU